Oncorhynchus tshawytscha (Chinook salmon) is the source of this 512-nucleotide long non-coding RNA. Lineage: Eukaryota; Metazoa; Chordata; Actinopteri; Salmoniformes; Salmonidae. The record is from Ensembl.
CAGCAACAAUAAUAAUAAUAAUAAUAAUAAUAAUAAGUCACUGUUUGUUAAGGUAGUUAUAGACAGUACAGCAACAAUAAUAAUAAUAAUAAUAAUAAUAAUAAUAAGUCACUGUUUGUUAAGGUAGUUAUAGACAGUACAGCAACACAAUUAUUUUUAUUCAUUAAAAGUAGGCUAUUUAUUGUCUUUCAAUCUGUUCUUUUCUAAAUGUUUCUGAGAAUAUAGACAGAAGUGCUAAAACGGACAUGAUUGAUCUGAGGGGGAAAUUAUUGAUCCAUUCAGAAAGGUUUUUUUGUACAAGUAAUUGAUGUUAUAUUAUGUAAAGUAGGCUAGGUUAUAAUGUAUAGUAGUGGGUUGUUAGUGAUAUGUAGAUGUUAUAUUAUGUAAAGUAGACUAGGUUAUAAUGUAUAGUAGUGGGUUGUUAGUGAUAUGUAGAUGUUAUAUUAUGUAAAGUAGACUAGGUUAUAAUGUAUAGUAGUGGGUUGUUAGUGAUAUGUAGAUGUUAUAUUAUG